Molecule: ribosomal RNA, 791 nt
Filed under: Dactylogyroides sp. WC3
Lineage: Eukaryota; Metazoa; Platyhelminthes; Monogenea; Dactylogyridea; Dactylogyridae
Description: partial large subunit ribosomal RNA
Rfam family: Eukaryotic large subunit ribosomal RNA
Source: RNAcentral
CUAACCAGGAUUCUCCCAGUAACGGCGAGUGAACGGAGAUUAGCCCAUCACCGAAGUCUAUCCGCGCUUGCGGACAGGACAAUGUGGUGUUUGGGCAUGCACCUGGGAGCGCUUGCCUACUCGAAGUCCAUCUCCGAUUUUGGCUUGGACUUGGCCCAUAGCGGGUGAAAGGCCCGUCCGGGUAGGCGUUGUUGCAAUAAGCGAUCCUCAGAUGUGUAUGCCUACGAGUCGGAUUGCUUGAGAAUGCAGUCCAAAGAGGGUGGUAAACUCCAUCCAAGGCUAAAUACUGGCACGAGUCCGAUAGUAGACAAGUACCGUGAGGGAAAGUUGAAAAGUACUCUGAAGAGAGAGUAAAUAGCACGUGAAGCCGCUUGCAGGGAAGCUGGUGGAGUCAAGCUUCAUGCCUGGGGAAUUGCCGUGAGAGCAUUGUGUGGCAGGACGUGAUAUUGGCUUGCCUGGAAACGGUUUGGCGCAUGCAAGUGCGCUUCAAGUCAUUCCGGGGAGAGUGUUUGUGCCGGUAUCUAUCUCCUACCUCUCUCGGUUUAUUCGCCACGGCAUACAUCACGGUCGAUAGAGUCAGUGUACUGUGUGAGUGCUUAACUGUGCCUUUGCAGAUUUAACCGUUUGCUGGGCAUAGAAUGGCAGAAGGCGUGUGCGGGCAUUCGUGUCUUCACUACGCGUAUUGUGGUCUUGACCUGCUAGUGCUCACGUACAGUAUCAGCCCUAUCGUUCUUAUGUGGAGGCUGCUCUUCGGAGCGGUUUCCGGUGAGAACCGUGAUGCUGAGGUAGAC